Molecule: long non-coding RNA, 1735 nt
Organism: Manacus vitellinus (golden-collared manakin)
Lineage: Eukaryota; Metazoa; Chordata; Aves; Passeriformes; Pipridae
Exons: 5
Source: RefSeq, a predicted model, not a curated record
AGGGAGAAGCAGAAGUUUUAACCAUCUUCCCAUGGCGUCUGACUUUUUUGAGGAAGGAGGUGCUGCAGCAUGGUGGGAGCUCCUGUAGCUGGAAUCUGGCCUCCCGUGUGGGUGUUAGAGGAUGCACCCACGAGCAGAAGCAGUGAGGUUCACAGUGGGGAAAAUGAACCCAGCAGUCCAUCCUAUCCCAUACCUGCCUGAGUACGGGAAGAGACCUCAUACAAGCCAGAAUGCAUCUGGGCUUGCAGCUCUUUUUAAUCAUAUUAAGUCCUAUUCAGAGUUAAUGGUGAGCUCAGUGAGAUGAGAUGGUCUUAGCAAUAUUGAAGAAGGGAUGAAGAGAAUUGGAAGGCAGAGCUAUUUCAAAACAGGAUUCUUCUUCUUUCCAUAAUGCCCAAACAUGAAGACUUUUAAACUUCAUUAGAUCCUGCCAUCAAUGACUGAGCCUCCCUGAAAUCUUCUUAUCAGUUACUGCCAAGAUGAGAAGGAUAACAGGAAGGAGGAGUGCUUAAGUGGCUUUAAUGACAGUUAAUUUCAUCUAUUUAUCAAAUGACAGGUUGUUUUUUCCUCAAAACUCAAUUGUCAUGACAAGAUGCUUUUGCAAGUCAUCUUUGUAAAAUAAAACUGACAAUUUUUAGGCUACAAAGAGCUAUUGUAUCUUUCUAUACAAUGUUGUCAUUAUGGUAAACCUCUGGAAAGUCUUUAUUUUUGAAGUAAUUUAACUUGCAUACUUCAUUCAUUUAUUUGAAUGUCUGUUGAAUGCUAUGUGAAAAGUUUCUUGCCAGAGUUCUUUUAUUCAAUGGAAUAGUUAUUCUUACAAUGCUCAAUUUAUUAUUGUCUAAAUUACUGUUGCCUUAGCCUCCUGCAAAAAUGUUUCUUUUUGGUAAUUCUUAAACAAAUAAGGAAUGAAUGAGGUUUUGUCCCCAUCGUGCUUUGAUCAGCAUAUUUUGCCUUUCAGUAAAAGUGUCUUCAGUUUUCAAAAUGACACAAAGAAAGGUGCUUUCCUAUUCCCCCCCAACAGAACAUCUUUUGUGCAAUAAUUUUUUUAAUAUGUACACUGCCAAGAUGCAAUUACUGGAAGGAGAGAGAGAAGCUGUUGGGAAUGUCGUGUUAUGCCAAAUUAAGAAUUAUUAGCUCUUACUUUCUCUGCAAUCUCUUCGACUAGAACCUGACCUAUUGCGUCUGGCAUAUACUUUGGCUCAAGUGGAACUAAUGUGUCCUUGGAGUAGCAUUUUAGAGUUACUUCAGAUUCAUGUUUUUUUCACAAGUCUGCUUUAAACUGCUGGGAUUAACUUCAGAGAAGGCAAGAGAUACAGCCUCCUUUGUCAGCAGCUGUGCUGGUUAAAGAAGGAGGCUUCUUGCACGCUUGCUUGCUCGCUCUCUCUGGGAGGUUAUUGCCCCUGCUAGGGAAGCAAACUGAACUGCUUCCCUGAGCACACUCAGACUCAUUUCAGCCAAAGUUAAUCGUGUCAUCAAAUAUUAGUUAUCUAUCACCCUGGGUCACUUUGAUGAAAGGGCAGGGAAUACAGAGGCCAGCUGUGAGGACGGUGUGUCUGGGAAGGGUGGUGUGUUGACAAGAGGGUUGUUGAGGACUGGUCCUGGUGUAGCCUUUUCAGCAGGUGCAGUUUGCAUCUCUCGGCUGUUGUAAAAAUUGGACGUGUUAGAAAGCUGUGCAGUUAUGUCAUGUAUAAUAUUCACAUUUCAUGGAUAUCUUGGAUAAUACAAAAUAAACCUGUGC